ACCUCCCCACGCACGCGACCUGCUCUUCUAUCGUUCCCUCUCCCACAUGCCUCCUCAAGCGACCCCACCUCGCGCUCCCGAUGCUGCGCCGACACCUCCUCCCCUUCUCUCACGGCCUCUACAAGCAUCCACAAAUCCUCCCUCUCCCAUAAUCUCCUGUUUUUGCCUCUCAAUCACGAAUCAGGAUCCAUGGAGGUUUCCGACAAGUGCUACUCGAUCUGCUAUACGGCAGCGACCGGGACCGCCGGCCGUGGGUCUGCGUCUCGCUGCUCAUCCUCCGGGAGGCUGCACACGGAGGGAACUCGGUGUUGGUGAGGUUCCAUGGAGUGCCAAGCGGGUGCUCUUCGCCAGCGGGAGGAACACGACAUGUGUUGCUCAUUAGAUCUGUCUACUCCUGUAUUUUCAGUUACCUGUGUGACUGGAAAAAGUACACUAUAUGUUACUAUGCUAUAUUUCUUAAGUUAUGUAUAGAACCUCUACCUAUAUACUUGGAUCACCGGAUUGUUCAUUUCUUUUUAUGCAACAAAACUACAGAAUUAGUACUUAUCAUUGCAGUGUCGUGUUCUGUGUAUACCAAUAUCUCUACCACUAUAAUACACCAGUCUUGAAUUUGGAUUCACCACCCUACUUUUUUUUUAGUCCGCUAGGGUACUGAUCACCUAAACUAAUGAACUAAUAGCCAAGAUACAGUGCAGAGAGUAAACUUGCCGGGUGAUACAUGAGAGCAUUUAUAUAAUGGUUGGUUCUAUCAAGUUUUUAACCGAUUUAUACUGAAUUAAACUUGUUGAUAUGGCGAUAGGGUCUCCAGUGUACAUGAUUAUCGAUUAAAUUUGUAUAUAAACUUCUUCCAAUUUGUUCAAUUGUAACCCUAGUGAUGUAACAAUGAAUGCUAAUUGUAUUGUUCUGCUCUUGGUUAGUACAAGAAAUGCUUGAGUUGUCAAUCAGGAAGAACUUCAAUUCUUCAAGCAAGAACUCUAGACCGGGCUUUCAAAUAAGUUGGACUGUAGAUAAUGUCCAGAUUUGUGAUCAUUGAUGUUUGUGCUUUCUUCUUCAUGUUCUGGUGAGGAGGAAGGGAAAACGCUGGAGCCGAUAGAUGUUUAGUGGGACUAUGUUCUGAAUUGACAAAGCUAAAGUUUUUGCGACUACGGAAUUGUGAUUGGAUAUUCUUGAGUAUUCAGUUCUUCAGUACUGUUAAUUGAACAUACACUGCAAGUCAAAUUUCCAGGUAAAUCUGAUCAAGACUACUAGAUGAUCCAAGUGGAGGAUUAUUUCACUUUCAGACCCACUUUGUAAUUGUACAUCAUUGUCUUACCACAAAAGUUUAGAUGGACAUAGUAUCCAGGAUACCAACUAUUUCGAACUCCUCUCUACAAAAAAGGCUUAAGGGGAUUGGUAACUGGAGUUCAGAGCAUAAAAUUAUUCUAAUUGCCAUGCCUACAGUAUUUUAUACACAGAUUUGAGAGAGGAAUAGAUGGAUAGAUGAGAAAUGGACCAUUAAAGUUGCUUUUCAUGGUUCUCUUAGGGACCAUUGCAAAAGGUGUUUUUGUUUGGAUAAAGGUCAUCGAGCUAAGGUAAGCUCUCCAUAGACUGGAACAUUAUCAUGUCCUCGCCGGCGAGGAAGCCAGGUUCCCAUGGCAGUCUGCCACGCUCGCUUCAGUAGCUCAUUGAUUAAGAGGUACGAGUGGGUGGCCAGCUGCAAUGUCUAGAUGGAAGACCGCUCCUGUUCAGAUUUAUUUUGGGUUCUUGAUUCCUUUUUCCCAAUGGUUAUAUGUAAUUAGUACAACAUUAGGAAAAAAAAUUAUACCAUGUUUGUGGCUGGAUGCAUUGAGUUGUUGGAAUUGUUGUAUUAGAAGUGCACUCUUGAUUGUCUUACCAAUGGUCCAGAAGAAUUGCACAACCGGUGAAAUUGACCGUGGUUUUAAUGUACUUUUGUUACAAUAGAGUUUUUUUAGGAGCUAGCAAAGGACAGUGGGAGAGAUCUCCCACUGAUUUGUAACUAUAAAAAGAAGGACGUCAGUUACAUUUACAAUAUACUAGAGUAUAUUUCAUUAUUUCCCAGUUUGGACAUACUUCUAUUGGUUUGCUUCUCAUAAAUAUUAUCAUGCAUGUAUCAGCUGGUGAUUGUGUGAUAGUGGCGUGCUCUCAUAAAUAUUAUG
Long non-coding RNA from Triticum aestivum (bread wheat), 2156 nucleotides. RefSeq lists it as uncharacterized. The record is from RefSeq and is a predicted model, not a curated record. The transcript is spliced from 5 exons. Lineage: Eukaryota; Viridiplantae; Streptophyta; Magnoliopsida; Poales; Poaceae.